This 1249-nucleotide ribosomal RNA is filed under the name metagenome. RNAcentral's name for it is "bacterial LSU rRNA". It matches the Rfam family "Bacterial large subunit ribosomal RNA", at positions 1635 to 2874 of the family's 2925-position model. The record is from RNAcentral.
UACACGACCGUACCGCAAACCGACACUGGUGCGCGAGAUGAGUAUUCUAAGGCGCUUGAGAGAACUCAGGAGAAGGAACUCGGCAAAUUGACACCGUAACUUCGGAAGAAGGUGUGCCUUUAGUAGGUGAACCAUUUACUUGGGGAGCCCAAUGAGGCUGCAAAAAAUCGGUGGCUGCAACUGUUUAUUAAAAACACAGCACUCUGCUAAGACGAAAGUCGACGUAUAGGGUGUGACGCCUGCCCGGUGCUGGAAGAUUAAAUGAUGGGGUGCAAGCUCUUGAUUGAAGUCCCAGUAAACGGCGGCCGUAACGAUAACGGUCCUAAGGUAGCGAAAUUCCUUGUCGGGUAAGUUCCGACCUGCACGAAUGGCGUAAUGAUGGCCACACUGUCUCCUCCUGAGACUCAGCGAAGUUGAAAUGUUUGUGAUGAUGCAAUCUCCCCGCGGAAAGACGGAAAGACCCCAUGAACCUUUACUGUAGCUUUGUAUUGGACUUUGAACAGAUCUGUGUAGGAUAGGUGGGAGGCUUUGAAGUGUGGUCGCUAGAUCGCAUGGAGCCAACGUUGAAAUACCACCCUGGUGUGUUUGAGGUUCUAACCUAGGUCCAUUAUCUGGAUCGGGGACAGUGCAUGGUAGGCAGUUUGACUGGGGCGGUCUCCUCCCAAAGUGUAACGGAGGAGUUCGAAGGUACGCUAGUUACGGUCGGACAUCGUGAUAAUAGUGCAAUGGCAUAAGCGUGCUUAACUGCGAGACUGACAAGUCGAGCAGAUGCGAAAGCAGACAUAGUGAUCCGGUGGUUCUGUAUGGAAGGGCCAUCGCUCAACGGAUAAAAGGUACUCUGGGGAUAACAGGCUGAUACCGCCCAAGAGUUCAUAUCGACGGCGGUGUUUGGCACCUCGAUGUCGGCUCAUCUCAUCCUGGGGCUGUAGCCGGUCCCAAGGGUAUGGCUGUUCGCCAUUUAAAGAGGUACGUGAGCUGGGUUUAAAACGUCGUGAGACAGUUUGGUCCCUAUCUUCCGUGGGCGCUGCAGAUUUGAGGAAGCCUGCUCCUAGUACGAGAGGACCGGAGUGGACGAACCUCUGGUGUAUCGGUUGUCACGCCAGUGGCAUUGCCGAGUAGCUAAGUUCGGAAGAGAUAACCGCUGAAAGCAUCUAAGCGGGAAACUCGUUUCAAGAUUAGAUCUGCCGGGGCCUUGAGCCCCCUAAAGAGUCGUUCAAGACCAGGACGUUGAUAGGUCAGGUGUGGAAGC